This 253-nucleotide ribosomal RNA is filed under the name uncultured bacterium. RNAcentral describes it as "partial 16S ribosomal RNA". It matches the Rfam family "Bacterial small subunit ribosomal RNA", at positions 524 to 776 of the family's 1533-position model. The record is from RNAcentral.
UACAGGGGGGGCAAGCGUUGUUCGGAAUUACUGGGCGUAAAGGGCUCGUAGGUGGCCGACUAAGUCAGACGUGAAAUCCCUCGGCUUAACCGAGGAACUGCGUCCGAUACUGAAAGGCUUGAAUCCGGGAGAGGGAUGUGGAAUUCCAGGUGUAGCGGUGAAAUGCGUAGAUAUCUGGAGGAACACCGGUGGCGAAGGCGGCAUCCUGGACCGAUACUGACACUGAGGAGCGAAAGCCAGGGGAGCAAACGGG